AACACACAUGCAGGCUUAGCUCAGGCCAGACCCUCACUGCUAAGGAGUUGCGAUUAUCAUCCCUGAUAUAGAGGCGGGGAACCCAAAACACCAAGAGCAGUGGGUGCUUAGGAAGCCACAGAGCUGGGAGUAGAGCCCCAGCAGCCUGAUCCAGAGCCCCUGUUCUUCACCACCACCCUGCCCUCCUCCAGGGAGCACAGUGGGGGUCCUGGAGCCUCUUUCCAUCUGUUGGAUCUCGGUGAGAGGUUUAUAGAAGAAUCGUUUCAGGGCUGAAGCAGUGAUAUCCAGUAACAUUCAAUAUGAAGGAGCUCUGUGAAGGCUAAUUUACAGAAUCAUGGCUGUGCUUUUUUAACUCUUCAUGUAUAUUUAGGCAUUUUCCUGUGUUUCCAAAAGAACCCUGUUCCUCCUGUUCCUCCUCCUCCUCCUGUUCCUCUUCCUGUUCCUGCUCCUUUAGGAAAGGCUCAUGCAAUGGAAUCUGAGGCCUGUUGGUCAUUUGCAAAUCUUCAUGGCAGUGGGCUCAAGUCAAGGGUGAGAGAGCCAUGGGCUCUGAUUUGGAAAUGACCAAAGCUCAAGAAGCCUACAUUCCUCAACAUGAGUCCUAACUGAGGCUAAAGCAACGGGACACCCCCACAGCCACAAGACCAUCCACCACCCAGAGGUCCUGUAGCUGAAUAAAAUAUCAAUCCUUUGGGAGUUAAGGAGAAAUAUAGCACCUGCUUGGGAAAAACUGGAGAAGACAAGAAAAUUCAGUGCCAUUCACUACGCAUUUAUUGAGGACCCCUGAUCUCCAAGGCUUAAGUAGGACGGAGGAUUAGAAAAGAUAGCAACUAAGACAAGAUUGUUCUCAAGAAUAUUACCGCAAGUGUUGCUAACACUGCUAGCCCUUUAAGGCCAACUGGGAAAAGCACAAUCAGGCAGCCAGCCAGGCAAACUGGAGAAAGCACCCAUUUAGACAUUAGAGAGAUCGCAGUUCAAAUCCCCACUCCUCCCGUUAAUACCUAACUGACAUGGAGGGAAUUACCUAACUUCUCUGAGCCCAAGUCUUCUCCUCAGUGUAACUGAGCUGCAGGGUUCUGAGGUUAAGGGGUGCCUUUGAAAGAAGAGGAUCUGGGUGAGAGGAGGCAAUGCUGAGGGAGUCUUGCUGGAAAAAGCAGCAAUGUGGCAGAGGGCCUGAUACAAAGGACACAAGUCACUAUAUCCUGGAAGGUUGCACGUGGAGGCAGGUGAAACCUAGUCUCCAGAGAUUCUCUCAUCUCUAGACUCUAGAGAUUCUAGAGAACCUCCCAGUUUCUGUAGAGAGUCAGGAAGCCUUUAUUUUCUUAAAUCCAUAGGGAUUGAUGAGAAGAUUCAUGCAACAAACGAAGGGCUAGUAGUAGAUAAGGCUUUACAGGUAGGCUGGAGCAAAUUGAGAAGUGGAGUGCUGUCCUAAGGCAGUAAACUUUAUCCUUGAGGAGAUGAAGGUUUGAAGACAGGAAGCUGGUGCCUUAGGAGGUUCACACUGGUGGCUGGGGUCUGGGAGAGCAGUUAAGAGGCUAUACUGAUGGGCCCAGUGAGAACCCAUAGGAGCGGGAGGGAAGGAGGAGAGGUGUUUGUCAAGUGAAGGGAUACAAGUGAGAAUUGUUAUUAAUGGGAUCUGGUGGGGAGAGAAGAUGGCUUUAUCACUGGAGAGUUCACUGAAUUCAGAAACCCAGGAGGCAGACAAGUAGGGCUGGCAGGAAGAGGAUCAGCCUAGAUUUACAGCUGCCAAAAGGAAAAUGCUAGAAGGAUGCUCGUGUGCAGGGAAUAUCCUGCCGGCAGCGGGAAAGGGGCACGGGGCACAGGGCACAAGGAGAAGCUGAUGGCCAGAUGUAGAUGUGGGAAACAGCUUCACAAAAGUAAGGGCUGAAAAUGUGUCGUUGGAUACAAAUCCCUAAGGGAGAAAGGGCAGGGAGAAGAGGGUCAAGGCAACACCCCAAAAGACCACUGAGAAAUAAGGACUUCGGGAUGGAGACCAAGAAAGAGCAAUCUCAAAGGAGUGAAGAAAGAAGAGUUUCAAGAAUGGUGCUGUCCGUGGCCAGAAACUGCGGCUGUCAUGGGGUAUGGAGGAGACAGCAUGUGAGUAGGUGACAGCGAGGACACAGGUGACCUGUGAGAGUGACACAGUAAUAGGUGAAGAACUGAGAUUGUGAGGGUUGAAGGUCAAUGGUUGAAAGUGCUGAAGAAGAAGCGGGAGAUGAGAGGGAGGGAUUGAGCCUUCUAGAAGAUCUGUAAGAGAGGAGAGGAAGGCCAGGUAGUGGUAGCUUGCAGAGAAAGUUUUCUUGAAGAUUUGGUGUUUUCUACAGACACACAGGGGAGGGAGCAGGGGAAUGAGAGAGACGGGAAGAUGUGAGAGAGAAAGGAUUCAUAGAAGACAAGAAGACAGGCCCAGCAGCCCUGAACAGGACCUGGAAAUGCAGAACUCCAUGCAAGUCUGACUUCUGGCGCUGGAGAACAUCAGCCACUAAGCAGCACAGGCAGAGCCCAUGCCUGUGCUGUCCUCACACCCAACACGAGGACUAAGUAUUGGCUUCAUCAUCAGUGAGAUUUCCUAAGGAGAAUUUCACACUGAGGUGAUCAGUUGUGUGUUGCGGGAAGUCAGGGACCCCGAAUGGAGGGACUGGCUGGAGCUGUGGCAGAGGAACAUAAAUUGUGAAGAUUUCAUAGACAUUUAUCAGUUCCCAAAUAAUACUUUUAUAAUUUCUUA
This is a long non-coding RNA of Pan troglodytes (chimpanzee), 2722 nucleotides long. RefSeq lists it as uncharacterized. The transcript is spliced from 2 exons. Lineage: Eukaryota; Metazoa; Chordata; Mammalia; Primates; Hominidae. The record is from RefSeq and is a predicted model, not a curated record.